AGCUGAUGAUCAGUCUGCAAUGGUAUAUAUAUUGGCAACACAGAAGGAGAUAUGGGGUGAUAAGGUUUAUCUUGAGAAUGCUUAUUACUUGCACGGUUACUGGGGAAUUCUGGUAGAUAAAUAUGAAGAGAUGAUUGAGAAUUACCACCCUGGUCUUGGUGACCAUAGGUGGCCACUUGUUACUCACUUUGUGGGUUGCAAGCCUUGUGCAAAGUUUGGAGAUUAUUCGGUAGAGAGGUGCUUGAAGCAAAUGGAUCGUGCAUUCAACUUUGGUGACAACCAGAUCCUGCAGAUGUAUGGAUUCACUCAUAAAUCACUUGGUAGUAGGAGAGUGAAGAGAACACGUAAUGAAACAAGCAAUCCACUUGAAGUGAAUGAUGAGCUUGGAUUACUUCACCCUCCAUUUAAAGCUGUCAAGGUACCAUCUUCUUGAAUGCAUAUGAAAGGGAUCAUGCAUUAAGGUCAAGAUUGGGAUACCCUUUUAACCUUAAAUUUUUGUACCAUUUGAUCACAAUAUGUGCCACGCUGUACUUGUUAUUAUGCCUGUCUUAGAGCACUGGUUAUUGUAUUCCUUCAUUUGUCAUAGUGUUUUGUGACAUAAUCUUUUU
This 608-nucleotide unclassified non-coding RNA is filed under the name Hevea brasiliensis (rubber tree). The record is from RNAcentral. Lineage: Eukaryota; Viridiplantae; Streptophyta; Magnoliopsida; Malpighiales; Euphorbiaceae.